GUUUGAUCAUGGCUCAGAAUCAACGCUGGCGGCGUGCCUAACACAUGCAAGUCGAACGCGAAAGUCCCGCAAGGGAUCAGUAGAGUGGCAAACGGGUGAGUAACACGUGGGUGACCUGCCUUCGAGCGGGGGAUAACGUCCCGAAAGGGUCGCUAAUACCGCAUGACAUCCUGCCUUUGAACAGGUGGAGAUCAAAGCUGGGGAUCGCAAGACCUAGCACUCGAAGAGGGGCCCGCGCCUGAUUAGCUAGUUGGUGGGGUAACGGCUCACCAAGGCUACGAUCAGUAUCCGGCCUAAGAGGGCGGACGGACACACUGGGACUGAGACACGGCCCAGACUCCUACNGGAGGCAACAGUGGGGAAUUGUUCGCAAUGGGCGCAAGCCUGACGACGCAACGCCGCGUGGAGGAUGAAGACCUUCGGGUC
RNAcentral lists this ribosomal RNA (426 nucleotides) under uncultured bacterium. RNAcentral's name for it is "bacterial SSU rRNA". It matches the Rfam family "Bacterial small subunit ribosomal RNA", at positions 11 to 424 of the family's 1533-position model. The record is from RNAcentral.